GAAACUGCGAAUGGCUCAUUAAAUCAGUUAUCGUUUAUUUGAUAGUACCUUACUACUUGGAUAACCGUGGUAAUUCUAGAGCUAAUACAUGCUAAAAACCUCGACUUCGGAAGGGGUGUAUUUAUUAGAUAAAAAACCAAUGCCCUUCGGGGCUCCUUGGUGAUUCAUAAUAACUUAACGAAUCGCAUGGCCUUGUGCCGGCGAUGGUUCAUUCAAAUUUCUGCCCUAUCAACUUUCGAUGGUAGGAUAGUGGCCUACCAUGGUUUCAACGGGUAACGGGGAAUUAGGGUUCUAUUCCGGAGAGGGAGCCUGAGAAACGGCUGCCACAUCCAAGGAAGGCAGCAGGCGCGCAAAUUACCCAAUCCCGACACGGGGAGGUAGUGACAAUAAAUACUGAUACAGGGCUCUUUUGGGUCUUGUAAUUGGAAUGAGUACAAUUUAAAUCCCUUAACGAGGAACAAUUGGAGGGCAAGUCUGGUGCCAGCAGCCGCGGUAAUUCCAGCUCCAAUAGCGUAUAUUAAAGUUGUUGCAGUUAAAAAGCUCGUAGUUGAACCUUGAGCCUGGCUGGCCGGUCCGCCUCAC
RNAcentral lists this ribosomal RNA (582 nucleotides) under uncultured fungus. RNAcentral's name for it is "SSU rRNA". It matches the Rfam family "Eukaryotic small subunit ribosomal RNA", at positions 83 to 668 of the family's 1831-position model. The record is from RNAcentral. Lineage: Eukaryota; Fungi.